This 8158-nucleotide long non-coding RNA is filed under the name Zea mays. RNAcentral describes it as "long non-coding RNA (ZMAY_LNC004363)". Lineage: Eukaryota; Viridiplantae; Streptophyta; Magnoliopsida; Poales; Poaceae. The record is from RNAcentral.
AAGAAGACAACAUAUAUAAUAACAGAGUGUAUAGAGAUAAAUGUCAUAAAACAUCAGAGUAAUUAUUACAUAGCGGAAGACUUAUUACAAAAUAAAAUAAUAAAGAUAAAACGAACUAAGGAUCGUCGGCGCCAAUGUCAACUGGGAAACGCCACCUAGAUCAGAUCGAACUCCUCAGUGUUAGGCGGCUCCUCCUGAACCACCUGAUCUUCUCCUGUGGGGGGGGGGUGUGAGACAGCAAGAGUGAGCUCACACAUGAUCAUAGCUCAACAAGUUGUGGGGAACCAGUGGACAUAAACUCACAAAGGUGUGAGUUCAUGUGAUGUGUAAGGCUAAUCAAUGAUAGGGGUUAAAGCUGAGCAUUGCUUUUAAGUAGUUGGUCAAAAUUUUAUUAGCAAUUACUAAGUGUAAGUAAAUACCAAACCAUAAGUAAAGUAAUAGAACAAAAUUAAUAACAAUCCCAUGCAAUGCAAAUGACCAAAUUGAAUUUAAGUUCCAUAAUUUAAACAUCAGAGAGUCCUGAGCUGCUCAUGACCGCGAGCACGGCUAGUAUACCAGUUUUACACUCUGCAGAGGUUGUACCCUUUACCCACAAGUCAUGCUACCCAUCUGCCAAGGGGUCGCGAAUCCCAUACACCUCUACCUAGGAAGCGCGGCAGGGCAACACUAUGAGGCCUUUACAAAGUUCCACUAGCUUCCGAAAACCCGCUACAGUUUAUAGGAAGUUCCAAUGCAGGGUUCCUGGCUGACCGCCAUCGCAGCAAAAUCAACCAGGGACCUCCCUACACUGACCACUCCCCUACUGCCCUUGCCCCUUUCGGGUAAGGUAGUCUUCCACUAGCUUUCCUAAUUAGUCAGCCAAGGGCGUCCCAUUAAACCCUUAUGGUGGCACGUGGUUCUCAAGUUAAGCUCUAUGUUCCAAUUAACAUUAAUGAUCUCAACAUGAACAUAAACAGAAUAACAAGAAUAAUUGGAACAUAGAUAUAAUAAAUGAUUAUCCCAAAACCAUGUAUAGCAAUAGCAAACUACCCAAGUGAUUCAGGGGUAAACAAGGUAAUGAGAUAAACAAUCUAGGGUGACCUAUUGGGUCCCAUCAAAAUUAACCUAUGCAUGAGUGAAUGAUAAUUAGAGAACAUUAUUGGGUAAAAAGUGGUCAAGGGCACAACUUGCCUUCAAUGAGCUCCUGCUCAGCUACUUCAACCUGCUGCUCACCAGGAUCCUCAGCAACGGGCUCUUCUACUCGCCACAAUACAAACAAGCACAGUGCAUAUAGAGAAAUUAACAUUACAUCAAACAUAUAAACAAAAUACACAGUAAUAAUCUACACAUUAAAAUAAAAUCCUAGGAACAGGAAUCAUAAUUUUUGGAGUUAUAGAUUUUAAGAUAUGAAUUUCCAAAGGUUUUAUGUGCUUAAUAUAGGAUUAAGUGAGGGAUUAAUUUUCUUACUGUUUUCAUGACAAAAUAGAGACUCUAAGUGAUAGAGAAUAAAAUUACAAAAUUUUAGGAAUUGGAAUGGAUUAAUUUGGACCAAGUAUGGAUUUUCUAUGGAAUAAACAAGUUCUAGGAUUUAUUUUGUAUUAAAUAUCAAUUUCUAAAAUUAAAUAAUUGAAUUCUCAGAGCUAUUUACUGGGCGCACUAUUUUCAGAUAACGCAGGGGCCACGGGGUAAAUAGUUCUAGACACAGUGAACAUAGUCGCAGUACCACGGGUUGAUUCCAUAUUAACUGGGGGUUUCUUAAGUAAAAUUCCUAGGCCGAAUCGGUACAGGUCAAUCCCGACAGUCCGAUCCGAUACGGGAGAGCACGAUUACACCAAGUUCGCCCUUCAACCGGUACCUGGUGAUAACCACUGGAUCUGCAUCCGACGGUGCUGAUCACGCCAACACCCAUAAUCGCCCUGAUCCGUCAGAUCUUAUCACUACGGCCUAGAUUUGAUCAAGCGAAAUGGUAAGCGGCCCUCUAAUUGCCACCGUCCGUUAAUGAAUCAACAGCGCACGGUCAUCGCCCCCAUCCGUCAACCAGCACAGCCAGCGCCGCCAUGGUAGCGACGGACUUCUCGCCAGAGUAAUGCCCGCAAUCGAACGAGUGCGCCAAAUCUAAAGGGGGUAGGUGCAAUACGCAGGUGGGGACAAUGCGAACAACAAGAGGAGCACCACACCUUCGAUUCGGGUGCCGAGAUUCCUAGCGACAGUGGGGUGCGGCUCCAUGGCGGAGGAGACACGCCGACGAGCAAUUCACGGCGACGGGGAGCUCCUUCCUGGUCCGGGUGGCCAGAGCUCGAUCCAAGGGUUCCUGAUAAAGCCUCACGACUACUUUCGGGUCGCCAAUUUCAGGGGAGCACGGAUGUCCGCCGCAGCGGCGACUUGGGUGGCGCAGUGGCGACUUCUUUUCUGGGAGCUAAUUGGUGAAGUCGAGGGCAGGAGAGACGAGGGAAUCGCGACCUAAGCUGCCCUAUAACAGUCAGGCGAGUAAGUUGGGAUGCGGAUUCACGGGAUGGAGUUCCCCUGCAUGCGGGGGAAGCCGGUAGCCUCGCAGGUCUGGCCUUCGCGGAGGUGGGGGAUGACCCAUAGGCCCCACACGGUAGCGAGCGCACGAUGAUGGCGCCAGGGACCCACAUGGCAGCGAGCUAGAAACCGCGCCGUGUGUCACCGCGACCGACAGAAGGGUCCCACACGGUCGGUCAACCAGGGAGCUGGCGUGGGAGAGUUAAUCGGGCUGCGCGGCUAAGGGCACAGGAGUUGGGCCGAGCGGCCAGUUUAGGCCCAAACUACGCACAGUUCUGUUUUUUUCUUUUAUAUUUCCAUUUUCCCUAUUUUGUCUUCUUUUUAUUUUGAAUUCCAAUUUGAAUUUGAACUCUUUAUGAGUUUCACCUUUGAGUGAGAUGUACACAUUCCAGUACAUUUAUAGAAUUAACAUAUUUUAUUAUUUAUAUAUUUUAUACUCAUUUUCACUCACAUAAUAUUUCUCUUUUUCUCUUUUUUCUAAAUUCUUGAAUUUCCUUAGAUCUUAAAUUCUACUUUAGACUUGAUAUAUUUCUUUCCAUCUUAUUUUUAUAUUAUCACCAAAAUGCACACAAAAAUAAAAUCCAACAUGAUGCAUGUAUUAUUUUUGGGUGUCUUUUGUCAUCUAGUUAUUUGUUAUAUGUGGUGUUCUCAUGAAAUGAUAAACAUAGAUGACACAUAUAUGUAUGAAGGAAUAUGAUUUCUCUUUUUAUACUCUUAUUACAAAGUGGGUAUUACAAAUCCUACCCCCUUAAAAAUAAUCUCGCCCUCGAGAUUUAGGAAGAACGAGGGAAAAGAUGGGGAAAAUCUAUGCGAAGCUCUUCUUCUCUUUCCCAGGUCGCUUCAUCUUCUCUGUGAUGACUCCAUUGCACUUUGCACAUCUUUAUCACCUUGUUUCUUGUAACUCGAGUCAAGGUGUCAAGAAUCUUGAUAGGAUACUCCGUGUAAGUCAAAUCACCCUGAACACUGAGCUCUUCCAUUGGUAACUGUUCCUCAGGGACACGGAGACACUUCUUAAGUUGAGAUACGUGGAACACAUUAUGCAUAUUCGAUAAACUAUUAGGUAACUCGAGUUGGUAUGCCAUCUCCCCAACUCGCCUAAAGAUCAAGAAUGGUCCAAUAUAGCGAGGGGACAAUUUGCCCUUGACUUUAAAUCUCCUCAUUCCACGAAGUGGUGACACUUUGAGGUAUACAUAAUCUCCUUCCUCAAAUCCCAGUGGUCUUCGUCUAUUAUCAGCAUAACUCUUUUGCCUGGUUUGAGCCACUCUCAAAUUCUCUCGAAUUAUACGGACUUGUUCUUCUGCUUCUUGAAUCAGUUCAGGCCCAAAGAACUGUCUCUCUCCAGUCUGAUCCCAAAUACAAAGGAGUUCUGCACUUCCUCCCAUAUAAAGCUUCAAAAGGUGACAUCUUCAGACUGGUUUGAUAACUAUUAUUAUAUGAGAACUCAGCAUAAGGUAGACUUUUAUCCCAACUUCCUCCAUGUUGAAGAGCACAUGCUCUCAACAUGUCUUCCAAUACUUGAUUAGUUCUUUCGGUCUGUCCAUCGGUCUGAGGGUGAUAAGCCGUACUGAAAUUCAACUUUGUACUCAUAUUCUCAUGAAAGCUUCUCCAAAAUCUUGAGGUAAACUGUGAACCUCGAUCAGACACGAUCUUCUUUGGUACUCCAUGCAAACACACAAUCCGAGCCAUAUAUAACUCUGCUAGCUGAGAACCUUUAUAAGUAGUCUUCACAGGAAUAAAGUGAGCCACUUUAGUCAAUCUAUCCACAAUCACCCAUAUAGCAUCAUAUCCUUUCUGGGUGCGAGGCAAUCCAGUAAUAAAAAUCCAUACCAAUCUCUUCCCAUUUCCACUCGGGUAUCUUCAGUGGAUGCAAUAGUCCAGCUGGCCUCUGGUGUUCAGCCUUGACUCUUUGACAUACAUCGCACAUAGCCACAUGUGCAGCCACAUCUCUUUUCAAUCCAUACCACCAAUACUUCCGCUUCAAAUCCUGAUACAUCUUAGUACUACCAGGAUGAAUAGAGUAAUCCGAGUCAUGGGCCUCUUUCAAUAUAGUCUCUUGAAGGCUUUUAAUAUCAGGAACACACAUCCUGUCCUUGAACCAUAUAGUGCCCUGCUCAUCUUCCGUAAAUUCCGGAACUCGACCUUCAGUAAUCAGAUCCUUAAUCUCUUUUAUUUUAGCAUCACCAAUUUGUCCUUUGCGGAUUUCUUGCUCCAAAGUAGGUUCCACAUCAAUAGUGACUCCUUCAGUAUGAGCAACUAUCCCCAGGUUAAGUCUCCUGAAAUCCUCAACAAUCUCAUCGGGUAGCUGGGCAGCAAUAGCUGAAUGAACAUGCUCCUUGCGACUCAAGGCAUCUGCAACCAAAUUCGCCUUGCCCGGGUGAUAGUGAAUCUCCAAAUCAUAAUCCUUAAUAAGCUCCAACCAAAGGCGUUGCCUAAGGUUGAGAUCCUUCUGAGUGAAUAUAUACUUCAAACUCUUAUGAUCCGUAUAUACUUGACACUUGGUUCCCAUAAUGUAAUGUCUCCAAAUCUUAAGAGCAUGCACAACUGCUGCUAGUUCCAAGUCGUGAGUGGGGUAGUUCAAUUCAUGUUUCCGUAACUGACGAGAAGCAUAAGCAAUCACAUGCCCUUCCUGCAUGAGCACACAUCCUAAGCCUUGGCCACAUGCAUCGCAAUAGAUAUCAAAUCCUUUCUGUAGGUCUGGCAUAACCAAUACUGGUGGCGACAUCAACCUCUUCUUUAGUUGGUCAAAGCUAUCUUGGCACUUCUCGUCCCACUUAAAUUCUCUUCCUUUCUCCAAAAGUGAAGUCAUAGGCUUAGCAAUCUUAGAAAAUCCUUCAAUAAAUCUCCGAUAAUAUCCUGCUAGUCCUAAGAAACUCCGAAUCUCAGUAACUGUAGUGGGUACUCUCCACUCCAUUAUCUCCUUAACUUUAGCAGGAUCCACUGAUAUUCCUCCAUUAGAAAUAAUAUGACCAAGAAAUGGCACUUCGCCAAUCCAAAACUCGCAUUUACUGUACUUGGCGUAGAGUUGAUUAUCUCGCAACUUCCGUAGUACCAAUCACAGAUGUUCCUCAUGAUCACUAUCACUCUUGGAAUAAAUAAGAAUAUCGUCGAUGAACACUACGACGAAUCUGUCCACAUUAUGAACACCUUAUUCUUCAGGUCCAUAAAAUAGUUGGUGCAUUAGUUAAUCCAAACGACAUAACAGUGAACUCAUAUAAUCCAUAUCGAGUCGAGAAUGCUGUCUUGGGAUUAUCCGAUGGUCUAAUCUUCAUUUGAUGGUAACCCGAUCGGAGAUCAAUCUUCGAGAAUACCCUAGCAUCUCACAUCUGAUCAAAUAAAUCCUCAAUGCGGGGUAACGAGUACUUGUUCUUCACGAUAACAUCAUUAAGGGACAUAUAAUCCACACACAUCCGCUGUGAUCCGUCCUUCUUUUGUACAAACAGAACUGUUGCUCCCUAAGGUGAGGAACUCGGACGAAUGUAACCAGCCUCUUGUAAUUCUGUUAAUUGCUUCUUAAGUUCCUUUAGUUCUUCUACAGACCUCCUGUAUGGCCGUUUGAAAGUAGGGGUAGUCCCAGGUAAGGGAUCAAUGACAAACUCAACUUCCCUAUAUGGUGGCAUCCCUGGUAACUCUUCUGGAAAGACAUCCGAAAAAUCUCUAACCACACGGAUGUUGACACCAACAAACUUCCCAUCUACUAAGAAUGUCGCUACUCUGAUGGUGGUAGUUACUGCAACCUCAACUUCCAAUCUUUCUCCUUUGGAACUGGUGAGUUCUACGGGUCCCUUAGCACAGUGUAUAUACUACCUUUGCCUUUCUUAACCAUGACAUACCAAGGAUCACGUCUAUAGUGCUCUCUUCUAACACUAUAGGGGUAGCCCAUCGGGGUUAGAAAUACAAGGUAAGAAAAGAAGAAUUGUAGACAAGGCGAGUAAUUACGAGAAAUGUUACUGCGGGGGAUUUAUUAGCUAAGUAGGUUAGUGCGUUAUCUACUAAAGCUAAUACAUUACCUUAUGGUGGUACAUGCUAAGAUGUCCGUCUAUACUAUUUCAAUCAACCAAAGAAGCAAAUCAGGCAUUGAUCAUCAGAACAAUCAACCAACAUUUUUAAUAGAGAAAAUAAAUCUUUUUUUGUCUUAGGUCUCCUAUCUCUUAAAAAGAUCAUAGUGGUAGGAUUCCAAGGUGUGAAAUCCAUCUUGUCUUAGAGUAGAAAAGAUAAGAUUAACCAGAGUAGAGUAGCAGAAGGCGAGACAAGAUCAAGAUAAGUAUAGAGAGAAUCAGAGUAAGGUAAGUAUAGAAUGAAUCAGAAUAAGAUAAGCAGGUAAGGGUUUUGUCCAUUUCUAUCUAGGUUUCGUCCUAUAGUCAACAUUUCCUCUGAUACCACUUCUGUCACACCCGACUUUAAGGAACAAAGCCAAGUGCAUCUCAUACAUGCGCCAAGAAGACAACAUAUAUAAUAACAGAGUGUAUAGAGAUAAAUGUCAUAAAACAUCAGAGUAAUUAUUACAUAGCGGAAGACUUAUUACAAAAUAAAAUAAUAAAGAUAAAACGAACUAAGGAUCGUCGGCGCCAAUGUCAACUGGGAAACGCCACCUAGAUCAGAUCGAACUCCUCAGUGUUAGGCGGCUCCUCCUGAACCACCUGAUCUUCUCCUGUGGGGGGGGGGUGUGAGACAGCAAGAGUGAGCUCACACAUGAUCAUAGCUCAACAAGUUGUGGGGAACCAGUGGACAUAAACUCACAAAGGUGUGAGUUCAUGUGAUGUGUAAGGCUAAUCAAUGAUAGGGGUUAAAGCUGAGCAUUGCUUUUGAGUAGUUGGUCAAAAUUUUAUUAGCAAUUACUAAGUGUAAGUAAAUACCAAACCAUAAGUAAAGUAAUAGAACAAAAUUAAUAACAAUCCCAUGCAAUGCAAAUGACCAAAUUGAAUUUAAGUUCCAUAAUUUAAACAUCAGAGAGUCCUGAGCUGCUCAUGACCGCGAGCACGGCUAGUAUACCAGUUUUACACUCUGCAGAGGUUGUACCCUUUACCCACAAGUCAUGCUACCCAUCUGCCAAGGGGUCGCGAAUCCCAUACACCUCUACCUAGGAAGCGCGGCAGGGCAACACUACGAGGCCUUUACAAAGUUCCACUAGCUUCCGAAAACCCGCUACAGUUUAUAGGAAGUUCCAAUGCAGGGUUCCUGGCUGACCGCCAUCGCAGCAAAAUCAACCAGGGACCUCCUUACACUGACCACUCCCCUACUGCCCUUGCCCCUUUCGGGUAAGGUAGUCUUCCACUAGCUUUCCUAAUUAGUCAGCCAAGGGCGUCCCAUUAAACCCUUGUGGUGGCACGUGGUUCUCAAGUUAAGCUCUAUGUUCCAAUUAACAUUAAUGAUCUCAACAUGAACAUAAACAGAAUAACAAGAAUAAUUGGAACAUAGAUAUAAUAAAUGAUUAUCCCAAAACCAUGUAUAGCAAUAGCAAACUACCCAAGUGAUUCAGGGGUAAACAAGGUAAUGAGAUAAACAAUCUAGGGUGACCUAUUGGGUCCCAUCAAAAUUAACCUAUGCAUGAGUGAAUGAUAAUUAGAGAACAUUAUUGGGUAAAAAGUGGUCAAGGGCACAACUUGCCUUCAAUGAGCUCCUGCUCAGCUACUUCAACCUGCUGCUCACCAGGAUCCUC